RNAcentral lists this ribosomal RNA (274 nucleotides) under uncultured bacterium. RNAcentral's name for it is "partial 16S ribosomal RNA". It matches the Rfam family "Bacterial small subunit ribosomal RNA", at positions 523 to 796 of the family's 1533-position model. The record is from RNAcentral.
AUACGGAGGGUGCGAACGUUAAUCGGAAUUACUGGGCGUAAAGCGCUCGUAGGCGGCUUGUUAAGUCGGAUGUGAAAGCCCUGGGCUCAACCUGGGAAUUGCACUCGAUACUGCUUGGCUAGAGUAUGGUAGAGGGUAGUGGAAUUCCUGGUGUAGCGGUGAAAUGCGUAGAUAUCAGGAGGAACAUCAGUGGCGAAGGCGGCUACCUGGACCAAUACUGACGCUGAGGUGCGAAAGCGUGGGGAGCAAACAGGAUUAGAAACCCCUGUAGUCC